This 253-nucleotide ribosomal RNA is filed under the name uncultured bacterium. Its description in RNAcentral is "partial 16S ribosomal RNA". It matches the Rfam family "Bacterial small subunit ribosomal RNA", at positions 524 to 776 of the family's 1533-position model. The record is from RNAcentral.
UACGAAGGGUGCAAGCGUUAGUCGGAAUUACUGGGCGUAAAGCGUGCGUAGGCGGUUUCUUAAGUCCGUUGUGAAAGCCCUGGGCUCAACCUGGGAACUGCAGUGGAUACUGAGAGGCUAGAGUGUGUCAGAGGAUGGUGGAAUUCCCGGUGUAGCGGUGAAAUGCGUAGAGAUCGGGAGGAACAGCAGUGGCGAAGGCGGCCAUCUGGGACAACACUGACGCUGAGGCACGAAAGCGUGGGGAGCAAACAGG